RNAcentral lists this ribosomal RNA (329 nucleotides) under uncultured eukaryote. Its description in RNAcentral is "partial 18S ribosomal RNA". It matches the Rfam family "Eukaryotic small subunit ribosomal RNA", at positions 1470 to 1796 of the family's 1831-position model. The record is from RNAcentral.
CCCUUAGAUGAUCUGGGCCGCACGCGCGCUACACUGAUGCAUUCAACGAGUCUAAAACCUGCUCUGAUAGGGGUGGGUAAUCUUUUGAAUGUGCAUCGUGAUUGGGAUAGAUGAUUGCAAUUUUUCAUCUUCAACGAGGAAUGCCUAGUAAACGCAAGUCAUCAGCUUGCAUUGAUUACGUCCCUGCCCUUUGUACACACCGCCCGUCGCUCCUACCGAUUGAAUGAUCCGAUGAAUAUCAUGGAUUGAGGAUUAUAGCAGGUUCGCCUGUCUUGAUCUUCGAGAAGUGAAGUAAAUCUUAUCAUUUAGAGGAAGGAGAAGUCGUAACA